ACACAUCUAACCACUCUUCAGCUGAUAUCCACUUGCUGACAAAUGAAUCUCUCUGGCCCCUGGACUGUGCCCUGAAACACAGCUUAAAACAGCAGAAUGAACAGUAAUCCCAGAGAUCCUGAGAUGAGAAAAGGGUGUUUGACUUAUUCAAAGAAGACCAAGGAAGCCCAAAGACCAGAGAAGAGUGCAGGAAAGGGGCGGCGGUCUGAGAUGCAGUCAGAGCAGUGGCAAGCCCCCAGAGUCUGUGGCAAAGACUUCAGGUUUCAUCCUGAAGAGGAAGACAGGUCUUUGGAGAGUUUUGAUCAAGGAAGUGAGAUGAAAUAUCUUAGGCUUACAAAGAACUACUCUGACAUCUAAAUGGAAAAUGGACUGAUGAAGCAAAAGAAGCCACAAGGAAGCCAGUUCAGAGGCUAUUGAAAUGCUCCAGAGGAACAGCGGUUUAUUGAAAGGAAAGCAAAUGUCCAGAAGCAAAAACAAACAAACAAAAAACAAACAAACAAACAAAAACAGAAAAAACUUCCCCAAAAGUAAAGAAUCACAGCUUUAUUCAGUAGCUCCUCAAUUAAAAUAGUCAUCUUCUUAAUUGUGCCAUCUUCAGAAGCAGCCAUAUAUACUGUAGUUAAGAGGCACAUGGUGAGAAAUUUGGGGUCCAAUCAAGAUGAUAGGAUUCAUCUACAUGGCAGCCCUCAAAGAUUCUGGAAGAGAAAAAUGGUGAAAAGAAGAAGCAGCAAAGUAUCCAGCCAAAGUUUCUGUUUGCCAUCUAUUCAAUUUAAUACUAAGAGAUUUGUGCUUGACUGUCUUUGAAGAAAUUAAAGAGAAGGCUAAAGA
Molecule: long non-coding RNA, 828 nt
Filed under: Homo sapiens (human)
Lineage: Eukaryota; Metazoa; Chordata; Mammalia; Primates; Hominidae
Description: HSALNT0393712
Source: RNAcentral